CCCCCCACCCCCCAAGGUGUUGAGAUAAUCGCCGCGGGGUUAAGGACGAAGGGGAGUCGGGGGGUGCGGGGGACAGGGGCGGCGAGGAGUAUAUAUCGGCGGCGACGACGAGGGUUCGGCACCACUCGACGACACCCACUCCUCGAGGCGACAUGUACAAGGCGGUGUUUGCAGUGCUGAGUGUGCUCCUGAUGGUGGCCGCCGCCCUGGCCAGCCCCAUGCCGGAGCCCGGCUACUUGGGCUAUGGUGGUGGAUACCGCGGGUUUGGUGGUGGCGGUUUUGGUGGCCUCUACGGCGGGUAUGGCGGCGGCUUCCGUGGCGGCUAUGGCGGCUACGGCGGCUACGGCUACUAUGGCUAGGGACGAUAAAGGAGGAGCGUCCACGCCCUUUGAUUAAGAACAAUUUUCUAAAGAUUGGCAAAGUUCGUCCUCGUCCUGUCCCGUUGCUGUUUUGUGCCGCGAGGACGAGCAACGAUUCGGCCGAGAACACCUCCAAUAAAGGCUUUCUUUCGUCCUGUGUCUUUCAGGCUUUGAGUGUUUCGUCGAGAAAACAAUAAAAAGAUCCUUAUU
This is a long non-coding RNA of Eriocheir sinensis (Chinese mitten crab), 569 nucleotides long. RefSeq lists it as uncharacterized. The record is from RefSeq and is a predicted model, not a curated record. NCBI's taxonomy places the organism in Eukaryota, Metazoa, Arthropoda, Malacostraca, Decapoda, Varunidae. The transcript is spliced from 2 exons.